AGGGGAAUAUUGGACAAUGGGCGCAAGCCUGAUCCAGCCAUGCCGCGUGAGUGAUGAAGGCCCUAGGGUUGUAAAGCUCUUUCACCGGUGAAGAUAAUGACGGUAACCGGAGAAGAAGCCCCGGCUAACUUCGUUCCAGCAGCCGCGGUAAUACGAAGGGGGCUAGCGUUGUUCGGAUUUACUGGGCGUAAAGCGCACGUAGGCGGACUAUUAAGUCAGGGGUGAAAUCCCGGGGCUCAACCCCGGAACUGCCUUUGAUACUGGUAGUCUUGAGUUCGAGAGAGGUGAGUGGAAUUCCGAGUGUAGAGGUGACAUUCGUAGAUAUUCGGAGGAACACCAGUGGCGAAGGCGGCUCACUGGCUCGAUACUGACGCUGAGGUGCGAAAGCGUGGGGAUCAAACAGG
This 404-nucleotide ribosomal RNA is filed under the name Actinomycetes bacterium. Its description in RNAcentral is "Actinobacteria bacterium partial 16S ribosomal RNA". It matches the Rfam family "Bacterial small subunit ribosomal RNA", at positions 355 to 776 of the family's 1533-position model. The record is from RNAcentral. Lineage: Bacteria; Bacillati; Actinomycetota; Actinomycetes.